RNAcentral lists this ribosomal RNA (1046 nucleotides) under Calisoga sp. S DHL-215. RNAcentral describes it as "partial 12S ribosomal RNA". Lineage: Eukaryota; Metazoa; Arthropoda; Arachnida; Araneae; Nemesiidae. The record is from RNAcentral.
CCUCAAAGGUAAAAUCCAACCUAUCCCCUUUGGCGGCCUUCAAUCUUAUUAAAGGAACUUGUUGUCUGACCGAUGAUACGCGAUACUUUUAGCUUAGACCUAAUUUUUAUACCGCCGUCCAAAGGAUAAAAUUAAAUAUUUUAUUCACUCCAUACCACUCAAGUAAAAAUGUCAGGUCAAGGUGAAGUUUAUGUCUAAGUUUCAAUGAGUUAUCAAUAAAAAUAAUUUAUGGACUUCUGUUUAAAAACACAAAUCGAAUUAAGAUUUAAAAGUAUUUUCAGUUCAAUACACUAAAAAGAAUAAGCAAAAAAGGUGUACAUAUCGCCCGUCGCCCUCGUCCAAAGAUGAGGUAAGUCGUAACACAGUUAAUGUACUGGAAAGUGUAUUAAGCGUAACAGCUCCAAGCUAUUAGUAUUUCACUUACACUGAAAAGAUUUCAUUUACCUCUGUAUAAGUUUUUAUCCACAAAAUCUUCGCGCCCAUAUAUUUCUAUCUCAAUGCUCAAAAAACUGAAAAGGAUUCACCAAAAUAUAGUUCAAGUAAAUCUAUGUACCUUUUGUAUCAGGGAUUUUCAAAUCUCCACAGCAUACUUCAAACUCCCGAAACAAAACGAACUUUGAAUCUUAGUAAAAGUUGUGGCACAAACAAUAUAAAUUUUUCAAAGUUGAGAUAUUCUUUUCAAGUCUUCCUAUAUCUGGUUCACACUCCCACCAACUCUUUCUUCUAGUUCAAAGAAUAAGCUUUGAACCAAGCUUACCAUCUUCCCAUUUUCUGAACCUAGGUUUAAUAGUAUCUGCGCUGUUUUCAAACUCCAUAUCAUAGGACAUUCAAGCAAAAUCUCAUCCAAAUGAAUCAUCCCAUUAACAUUACAAUGAAAAUAUCAGUAAAAUUUCUUCUUCUUCAACCCCCUGAACUUUUCCCCUAACCAUAAGCUCACAUUGAAUUUAUGAACUAGGCCCACAAUCAAUUGACUGUUUAUCAAAAACAUAGCUAAUAGAUCUCAAUUACUAGUAGUACCUGCUCAAUGAAAAAUAAAUAGCCGCAGA